AUCUUUUUGUAGUUCUUAAGCAUGAUGAUUGGGUUUUCAUACUGAUAUGUGAGAUGUGCCUCCCUUAAACCUUGUUAGGAAGUUGGCACGUUACCCAUCUGAUG
This is a small nucleolar RNA of Microcebus murinus (gray mouse lemur), 104 nucleotides long. NCBI's taxonomy places the organism in Eukaryota, Metazoa, Chordata, Mammalia, Primates, Cheirogaleidae. The record is from Ensembl.